UGGGGAAUUUUGGACAAUGGGCGAAAGCCUGAUCCAGCAAUACCGCGUGUGUGAAGAAGGCCUUCGGGUUGUAAAGCACUUUUGUCCGGAAAGAAAUCCUUGGCUCUAAUGCAGUCGGGGGAUGACGGUACCGGAAGAAUAAGCACCGGCUAACUACGUGCCAGCAGCCGCGGUAAUACGUAGGGUGCAAGCGUUAAUCGGAAUUACUGGGCGUAAAGCGUGCGCAGGCGGUUUGCUAAGACCGAUGUGAAAUCCCCGGGCUCAACCUGGGAACUGCAUUGGUGACUGGCAGGCUAGAGUAUGGCAGAGGGGGGUAGAAUUCCACGUGUAGCAGUGAAAUGCGUAGAGAUGUGGAGGAAUACCGAUGGCGAAGGCAGCCCCCUGGGCCAAAUACUGACGCUCAUGCACGAAAGCGUGGGGAGCAAACAGGAUUAGAUACCCUGGUAGUCCACGCCCUAAAACGAUGUCAACUAGUUGUUGGGGAUUCAUUUCCUUAGUAACGUAGCUAACGCGUGAAGUUGACCGCCUGGGGAGUACGGUCGCAAGAUUAAAACUUAAAUGAAUUGACGGGGUCAUAGCUGUUUCCU
Molecule: ribosomal RNA, 587 nt
Filed under: uncultured bacterium
Lineage: Bacteria
Description: partial 16S ribosomal RNA
Rfam family: Bacterial small subunit ribosomal RNA
Source: RNAcentral